UCCAGCCAAUGAGAUAUUGGCUUAGAACUAUCCUAGCCAAAACAAGAGACUUUCAACCAAUCGGAGAAGGUGAGAGGAACUGCUUCCAAGUUAGGGUUGGUGGUCUCUGAUUGGCCAAGAAAAUCCUUGGCAAAUUUGUGGUAUCAGUGACUCAGUCCUGGACAACCCAUGACACCCUACGCUGGUGGAUUUUGCUCGUGACCUAUCGUGGAAAACAAAAUUUCGUUUUUUUUUUUUUUUAUAGUAGUUGAAUCUUCUGUUAACGUAAAGCCAGCAUUAUCUAUCAUCAGGAUUGAAUAGUUCAAGUAGAGAACCGUGGGAAACUGAUGAAUACAACAGAUUGUCGGAAGUUUGAAAAGAGAACCGAGGGAAACUGAUGAAUGCAUGAGUAUAGUGGGAAGUUUAAAAAUCGUACCGAGGAGGACUGAUGAAAGCAAGAGGAUCGUCGGAAGUUUAAAAAUAGUACCGAGGGGGACUGAUGAAAGAAAGAUGAUCGUCGGAGCGAAUCAAUGUCAUCUUGUACCUUCACCAACUCGUACUCUACCAAUUCGUACCUUUACAUAGUCUACCGGCAUAACAGUAUAAUAGUAACUUCGAAUUUUAAACCCACCAAUUGGAAAUGAAUUAUAAAGAUAGCGUAAGGUUUUUAAUCUUUAUUGCAUCAUUAACAUCUUUAACAUAAUAACAUAUAUUAAAAUGUUAAUAUAUCAAAUAUACCAAAAAGUCAGUUGACAGAAGUGUCUUUAAAGGUCUGGAGAUGGUCCAUUUAACUGGCUACAACUACGUAAAAGGUUGCUGUGUGUUAUUGUCUUACGGCUGUACUGGUCCCACAGAUCGAAAAUCUUUACCUUAAUCUAUUUUGUUGAAGACCUCUGGUGUCUGGUAAACUUGGCCUCAAAGCCCAUGUUCAUCUGUACUGGCAGGAGGGAGGCCUCUACGUGUAGUUUUGGUAUGAGAAGAUAGAAUGGCUGUUUCUCGUCACCCACUUUCUUGUUGAUGCCAGCCUUCCACAUCGCUGUUAGUCCUGGUUGGCUGCAUAUAUAUACUGUCCACGACCCGACUGGCCAAACGGUACUAGUAAUCCACGUGUCGUUGAUGUACUGCACGAGCGGUUCCCAUGGAGUGCUGGUCUGUUCCUUAACUUAUUGAACGCUGGGCGGAUAUGCUCCCCUGGUAAGAAUGGAAGAGCCAUCAGUUUUCUUGUGAAUUUAAAGAUGACGUUCUAUUGAGGGUAGGCGGAAAUUAAUUAAGCAUCGUUUAAAUACAUACAUAUGCAUAAACAAAAAAUGUCAUACGUAUAUCAAGAUCAAAUAAGAUGAAAUUUUUUACAAACCUGUUUUUUUUUUCUUUUUCUUAUCUUUCCGUAUGUUUGUUAGUUGGUAAGCUCAUGUUUUAUUUUAAAUAUAUUUUUGUCCUGUGAUAUUAAUACAAUGUUUGGUUUUCUCGACCUUUUGGCUAGAGCACCUCUGGUAAAUCGGCACCUUAACAAGUAACUGCAAAAUGCAGUUUAUAAAUAUUGCUUAUAUCUUACCUGUAGUCUAAGCUCCUGGUGUCUAUUGAGCAUCUUUGCUGGGAAGACCUGACGGAGAGCCUGCCACACUGCUGGUUCAAAAUCUGCAAUAAUGCCACCUCUUAUAAUGAAAACAUUAAAUUUUUAAACCAAUACACAAAAUAUUCCUUGAAAAUUGUAAUCAAUC
Molecule: long non-coding RNA, 1697 nt
Organism: Macrobrachium nipponense
Lineage: Eukaryota; Metazoa; Arthropoda; Malacostraca; Decapoda; Palaemonidae
Exons: 2
Source: RefSeq, a predicted model, not a curated record